This 504-nucleotide ribosomal RNA is filed under the name uncultured bacterium. RNAcentral describes it as "partial 16S ribosomal RNA". It matches the Rfam family "Bacterial small subunit ribosomal RNA", at positions 30 to 523 of the family's 1533-position model. The record is from RNAcentral.
AUUGAACGCUAGCGGCAUGCUUAACACAUGCAAGUCGAACGGCAGCCCGGGGAGCUUGCUCCCUGGCGGCGAGUGGCGGACGGGUGAGUAAUGCGUAGGAAUCUACCUUACAGUGGGGGAUAAACCGGGGAAACUCGGGCUAAUACCGCAUAAUCUCUACGGAGCAAAGCAGAGGACCUUCGGGCCUUGUGCUUUAUGAUGAGCCUACGUCGGAUUAGCUAGUUGGUGGGGUAAAGGCCUACCAAGGCGACGAUCCGUAGCUGGUCUGAGAGGACGAUCAGCCACACUGGGACUGAGACACGGCCCAGACUCCUACGGGAGGCAGCAGUGGGGAAUAUUGGACAAUGGGGGAAACCCUGAUCCAGCAAUGCCGCGUGUGUGAAGAAGGCCUUCGGGUUGUAAAGCACUUUCAGCGGGGAAGAAAGAACCAAAAUUAAUACUUUUGGGUGUUGACGUUACCCGCAGAAGAAGCACUGGCUAACUCUGUGCCAGCCGCCGCAGUAA